This 484-nucleotide ribosomal RNA is filed under the name uncultured bacterium. RNAcentral describes it as "partial 16S ribosomal RNA". It matches the Rfam family "Bacterial small subunit ribosomal RNA", at positions 30 to 507 of the family's 1533-position model. The record is from RNAcentral.
AUUGAACGCUGGCGGCAGGCCUAACACAUGCAAGUCGAGCGGAUGAAGGGAGCUUGUUCCUGGAUUCAGCGGCGGACGGGUGAGUAAUGCCUAGGAAUCUGCUUUGUAGUGGGGGAUAACGUCCGGAAACGGGCGCUAAUAUAGCAUACGAUCUGAGGGAGAAAGUGGGGGUUCUUCGGACCUCACGCUAUCAGAUGAGCCUCGGUCGGAUUAGCUAGUUGGUGGGGUAAAGGCCUACCAAGGCGACGAUCCGUAACUGAUCCGAGAGGAUGAUCAGUCACACUAGGACUUGAACGGGGACAAGGCUACUGAGAGAGGCAGCAGUGGGGAAUAUGGGACAGUAGGCGGAAACCUGAUCCAGCCAUGGCGCGUGUGUGAAGACGAUCUUCGGAGAGUAAAGCACUUUAAGUUGGGGGAAAGGGCAGUAAGUUAAGAACUUGCUGUUUUGACGUUACCAACAGAAAAAGCACCGGCUAACUACGUG